This 208-nucleotide unclassified non-coding RNA is filed under the name uncultured fungus. RNAcentral describes it as "partial contains 18S rRNA, ITS1 and 5.8S rRNA". Lineage: Eukaryota; Fungi. The record is from RNAcentral.
AGGUGAACCUGCGGAAGGAUCAUUAACAAAUCAAUUGUGGUGGUGAUGGUAUGUAUGUAAUGUUGGGUUCAACAUUGCAUGUCUUACCCACACCUAACAUUUGUGCUCCAGGCAUUUCGUCUGGGUGCAACAUUAAUUCAUUAUUGUCAGUUGUUUGUCUAUUUUAAAUUUAUAAUCAUACUUUUAACAAUGGAUCUCUUGGCUCUUG